GGUGCCAUAGCUCAGUUGGUAGAGCAAAGGACUAAAAAUCCUUGUGUCCCCGGUUCGAUUCCUGGUGGCACCA
RNAcentral lists this transfer RNA (73 nucleotides) under Bacteroidaceae bacterium. RNAcentral's name for it is "tRNA-Phe". It matches the Rfam family "tRNA". From Rfam's summary of the family: Transfer RNA (tRNA) molecules are approximately 80 nucleotides in length. Their secondary structure includes four short double-helical elements and three loops (D, anti-codon, and T loops). Further hydrogen bonds mediate the characteristic L-shaped molecular structure. tRNAs have two regions of fundamental functional importance: the anti-codon, which is responsible for specific mRNA codon recognition, and the 3' end, to which the tRNAs corresponding amino acid is attached (by aminoacyl-tRNA synthetases). tRNAs cope with the degeneracy of the genetic code in two manners: having more than one tRNA (with a specific anti-codon) for a particular amino acid; and 'wobble' base-pairing, i.e. permitting non-standard base-pairing at the 3rd anti-codon position. Lineage: Bacteria; Pseudomonadati; Bacteroidota; Bacteroidia; Bacteroidales; Bacteroidaceae. The record is from RNAcentral.